UAGGGAAUCUUCGGCAAUGGACGAAAGUCUGACCGAGCAACGCCGCGUGAGUGAAGAAGGUUUUCGGAUCGUAAAACUCUGUUGUUAGAGAAGAACAAGGACGUUAGUAACUGAACGUCCCCUGACGGUAUCUAACCAGAAAGCCACGGCAAACUACGUGCCAGCAGCCGCGGUAAUACGUAGGUGGCAAGCGUUGUCCGGAUUUAUUGGGCGUAAAGCGAGCGCAGGCGGUUUCUUAAGUCUGAUGUGAAAGCCCCCGGCUCAACCGGGGAGGGUCAUUGGAAACUGGGAGACUUGAGUGCAGAAGAGGAGAGUGGAAUUCCAUGUGUAGCGGUGAAAUGCGUAGAUAUAUGGAGGAACACCAGUGGCGAAGGCGGCUCUCUGGUCUGUAACUGACGCUGAGGCUCGAAAGCGUGGGGAGCAAACAGG
Molecule: ribosomal RNA, 429 nt
Filed under: Acidobacteriota bacterium
Lineage: Bacteria; Pseudomonadati; Acidobacteriota
Description: Acidobacteria bacterium partial 16S ribosomal RNA
Rfam family: Bacterial small subunit ribosomal RNA
Source: RNAcentral